This 1021-nucleotide ribosomal RNA is filed under the name uncultured bacterium. RNAcentral describes it as "partial 16S ribosomal RNA". The record is from RNAcentral.
AACAUUUCACAACACGAGCUGACGACAGCCAUGCAGCACCUGUCUCACGGUUCCCGAAGGCACUAAGGCAUCUCUGCCAAAUUCCGUGGAUGUCAAGGCCAGGUAAGGUUCUUCGCGUUGCAUCGAAUUAAACCACAUGCUCCACCGCUUGUGCGGGCCCCCGUCAAUUCAUUUGAGUUUUAACCUUGCGGCCGUACUCCCCAGGCGGUCGACUUAACGCGUUAGCUCCGGAAGCCACGCCUCAAGGGCACAACCUCCAAGUCGACAUCGUUUACGGCGUGGACUACCAGGGUAUCUAAUCCUGUUUGCUCCCCACGCUUUCGCACCUGAGCGUCAGUCUUUGUCCAGGGGGCCGCCUUCGCCACCGGUAUUCCUCCAAAUCUCUACGCAUUUCACCGCUACACCUGGAAUUCUACCCCCCUCUACAAGACUCUAGCCUGCCAGUUUCGAAUGCAGUUCCCAGGUUGAGCCCGGGGAUUUCACAUCCGACUUGACAGACCGCCUGCGUGCGCUUUACGCCCAGUAAUUCCGAUUAACGCUUGCACUCUCCGUAUUACCGCGGCUGCUGGCACGGAGUUAGCCGGUGCUUCUUCUGCGGGUAACGUCAAUCGACGAAGUUAUUAACUUCAUCGCCUUCCUCCCCACUGAAAGUACUUUACAACCCGAAGGCCUUCUUCAUACACGCGGCAUGGCUGCAUCAGGCUUGCGCCCAUUGUGCAAUAUUCCCCACUGCUGCCUCCCGUAGGAGUCUGGACCGUGUCUCAGUUCCAGUGUGGCUGGUCAUCCUCUCAGACCAGCUAGGGAUCGUCGCCUAGGUGAGCCGUUACCCCACCUACUAGCUAAUCCCAUCUGGGCACAUCCGAUGGUGUGAGGCCCGAAGGUCCCCCACUUUGGUCCGAAGACGUUAUGCGGUAUUAGCUACCGUUUCCAGUAGUUAUCCCCCUCCAUCAGGCAGUUUCCCAGACAUUACUCACCCGUCCGCCACUCGUCACCCGAGAGCAAGCUCUCUGUGCUACCGUUC